RNAcentral lists this ribosomal RNA (661 nucleotides) under Ewingella sp. CB39(2010). RNAcentral's name for it is "bacterial SSU rRNA". It matches the Rfam family "Bacterial small subunit ribosomal RNA", at positions 104 to 761 of the family's 1533-position model. The record is from RNAcentral. Lineage: Bacteria; Pseudomonadati; Pseudomonadota; Gammaproteobacteria; Enterobacterales; Yersiniaceae.
GGGUGAGUAAUGUCUGGGAAACUGCCUGAUGGAGGGGGAUAACUACUGGAAACGGUAGCUAAUACCGCAUGACCUCGAAAGAGCAAAGUGGGGGACCUUCGGGCCUCACGCCAUCGGAUGUGCCCAGAUGGGAUUAGCUAGUAGGUGAGGUAAUGGCUCACCUAGGCGACGAUCCCUAGCUGGUCUGAGAGGAUGACCAGCCACACUGGAACUGAGACACGGUCCAGACUCCUACGGGAGGCAGCAGUGGGGAAUAUUGCACAAUGGGCGCAAGCCUGAUGCAGCCAUGCCGCGUGUGUGAAGAAGGCCUUCGGGUUGUAAAGCACUUUCAGCGAGGAGGAAGGCGUUAAGGUUAAUAACCUUGGCGAUUGACGUUACUCGCAGAAGAAGCACCGGCUAACUCCGUGCCAGCAGCCGCGGUAAUACGGAGGGUGCAAGCGUUAAUCGGAAUUACUGGGCGUAAAGCGCACGCAGGCGGUUUGUUAAGUCAGAUGUGAAAUCCCCGAGCUUAACUUGGGAACUGCAUUUGAAACUGGCAAGCUAGAGUCUUGUAGAGGGGGGUAGAAUUCCAGGUGUAGCGGUGAAAUGCGUAUAGAUCUGGAGGAAUACCGGUGGGGAAAGCGGCCCCCUGGACAAAGACUGACGCUCAAGUGCGAAAAGC